Molecule: long non-coding RNA, 3654 nt
Filed under: Gallus gallus (chicken)
Lineage: Eukaryota; Metazoa; Chordata; Aves; Galliformes; Phasianidae
Description: long non-coding RNA NONGGAT002136
Source: RNAcentral
UAGGAUUCAGGAUGGAUUAUCAGGGUUGCUGGAAGAUCAAUAAAAGCCCAUCAAGAAAGAAUACAUUUAGAUGUACUGCUGUUCCAGCUUCUCACCCUCCUGCAGCAGAAUGCAGAGCAGAAGCAAAGCAAUGGGCAGUGACAGACAGCAGCUCUCUGAGGAUCACAGUGCAUGGCGCAGUCUCACUAAAGAAGUAAGUAGCAAAGGUUAAAAUGAAAAAUUCCCUUCAUCUCAGUGAUGUGGUGUAAGAGGGACAGUGGCACUCCCUGCCUACUUUGCACAGCUGUUUUCCACAGAGGACUGUGCAGUCGAUUUGUUUUGGAGUUACCACAUAUGACAGAGUAGCAGAUUAAUAAAUAUUUGAUAGGGCAUGUUUUGAUCGGCGUAGCCUUGCUUUUUGGCACGAUACCACGUUUACUCUAAAGAAGGAUAAGCUGAGGCCAGUUAGCAUGCAGUGCCUGCACAACCACCACAGCAAAUCACAGCCACGGUGAGGACGGAGCCCGGGUCCUGUCCCCACGGCCUAAGCAGACAGAACUCUUCCUUGAAUCCUGGUUGCAUUGCAGCCCCACUUGACACCAAGGAAAGGGCUCUACCAACAGAAAACGAACUUACUCUAUGUCAAGAUACUAAUUCAGAGCACAGAAAAUUUAAAGCAAAUAUCCUCCACAAUAACUUAAAGCAGAAAAAAAAAAAGGCAAGCAUUCAGUGUUGGCGCUAUCACUGAGCGCUGUAAUAACAUGCACUUCCCACACAAGGGUUCCACGCACUCCCAUUGAUACUUCCCCUCACAGGCCUAUUUUUACACCUGCACAUCCUACCUGUUCCAGAGCACACCUCAGAGCACCUGGCGCCAGUCUGCACCGCCUGAUGUGAGCUGCAGGACACAGAUCAUGGCAAGAGGAGAAGGACUCCAGGUGAGAGCAGCAACAGGCUGCUGUUGGGAAAUGGGGAUUACAGAUUAUCUUCUACAUAGUGACCAGACAAUCCUGACUGGUCUGCAAUCAGACUGAACACUCAAGCAGGCAUUUUGCCUUCAAUGGCUGGAGUAGUGCCUCACCACUUGUUCCUUUCUCUUUCUCUGGGAAAGGUCUUAAAUCAGAGAGACUGAGGAAAAGUAGCUCUCCUUAACUGCGGGGCUGAGGCCUUCUGGCUGCACUGAACACAGAAACGUUUCAUAUAUUUCAGUACCUGGCAGUAGAUCCCCAGAACCUUGUUACUGGAAUGUUCCUCAGACAGAUGCCAUUCCUGCUUUCAAUGUGGUGAGUGAUCCUGUUCCCUAAAAAAACACUUCAAAGCAGUUAGUGAUAACAUAAGAAACAGUGCUAGCAAGGUGUGGGCUGACUUUCUGGAGAAGCUUUCAGCAAUGAUAAUGUGAAUUCAAAUGACUGAACAAAAGCAAAAGACUAUUCUAAAGGGAAAAAAAAAGCAGGUAAUAAAAUAAUUUACCACCUCAAGGAACUUGUCUUGCAUUGAGAUGUAAAGCUCUUCUAAUCAGAGCUACAGAUGCUGGGCAGCUUCAAUAUCUGAGUGUUAAACACCCAAGGAAGUACCCAAAUCAAGCCCAAGGUGUUCCAACAAAAGGGGACGUUCUGGUGUAACACAGCGAUUUGCACAGGGGCCUGGUGAGAUCAGAGAUGCAGAAGACCCAAUUAAGCUGUCAGAGGAAGCUGCUGCUGCCAUGGAGCUGUUACUACAGAGAUCUGAGCUGGUUCAAGAACGCCAGGCUGCCAGCAGAGAGGGGCUGCCUGAUGCAGUCACAGACCAGCACGGAGGCCUUUAGGGAGAUGCUGCUGUGCCCCAAGGUGCAUCAGUUGCGCUGCCCCGGCUCACCACCCAGAAACACAUUAAGAUAUAUUACUCAGUGCACGCUUCCAAAUUCCAACUGCUGUUUUCCACAAAGGACAAGCAAUACAUCUAUCCCAAACACUUGUAGUAAAGUGUUCAAAGUACAAAUAUCCCUGUAGAAUACCCUGUGACCAAUGUCUUUACGAGGUAAGCAUGCUUGUAAGGAGGGACUUCAGAGCCGGUGGAAAAGGCAGCACCUCAGUACCCUUUGAUCUUCAUCCAUAGGUACUUUGAGUUUGAAUAGUUCUUGGGGUCAAACAUAGAACACCCUGAGUUGGCAGGGACCAUGAGGAUCAUCGUGCCCAGCUCCUGGCUCCACACAGAACCACUAAAAACCAAACCCUACAUCUGAAGGCCUUCUCCAAACACUCCUUGAGCUCCAACAGCUCGGGGCAGUGUUGGCAGGCACAAUUAUUUAUAUUUCAUUUGGCAUGGAACAAUUCUGAAUGCUACUGAAAGAGAUGGUGAUGACUGAUCACGUAAUUUUAUAUCAAUUUCUUUCACACAGGAAAGGAAAAAGCUGUUUGAAAAACUAGCAGCUGUUGUUGCAGAUAUUCUGGUAAUGAUUGACGUGGUUGGAGUUAGUUUGCUGAUGGGCAUUCUGCACUGAACAGCUGAAAUGCUCUCAAAGUUACACAAUGACUUCUCUACCGAACUGGAAGAAGUGCAAGAAGCCUCAAAUGAAGAUGAAGAGCGUGAGCAGCUUUCCCAUCAAAUGGAAACCCUCCCAGAACAGCAUGUACAUUCUGUACGACUUCUACAGGAGGACAAAAAACUCAAGGAGAAGAAAAGGCUUCACAUCGAGACCCAUGAAAGCACAACAUUUAAUUUAAACAACACUUCGAAAGCAUUAAUAUGAGGGAGUCUCUGUGCACUGCUUGCCAGGAGGUGCUGCCAAGGCCCACGGACAUACAGCCAUUCUGAAAACACAGCUUCAUCCAUACUGCAGCACUAAAGCAAAUGCUAGCAUUGAAAACUCUCCAUUUGCCAUUUGGCCUUGAAAACAGAGUAAGGUGAGCAGAACUAUUUGGGGCUGUUUCACAAAAUCAAAGACUCUUCCUGGAAUAGGACAUCUCAAGACACAUCCUUUCAAUGUUCCCCAAUCAGUUUCAGAAGAACUAAGAGUAAAGGUUAUCAGAAAGUAAUAGAACAACUCACUUUCUGAAGACAAAACCGUCACUUCAGCAGUUGGUGAAUGAUUCCACACUGAUGGUGGAAUCAUUCUCUUUUCUAAGCCAAUGUGCCUUUCCAAUUAUGGGUGUAACUGUUGUCUGUGUGCCAAGAAGAACCAUCUCAGAGCCUGGGUAAAAUAAGCGCUGAGAUAGGAGAUAGCUGUCACUGCUGCGCGUUUCAGAGCAACAAUCGUCGAUCCGGGGUGUGCUGACCCCAUCUCGUGACCGGCAGUGGAAGUGCAGGAGCUAUGAAAGAUGCCCGGCCGAGACCAGAGGGAAGUUUCUCACCCGACCAAGUGCUGCUGCUGCUUCUGUAUUCAUGCGAAAAUGAAUCUAAUAACACCUGAAUGUGAAAAUUAAAAACGUAAAUUAACAGCUGGCAAAAUUUAUACCACAAAGUUUGACCCGGACAAGGAUGAAAACUGCAUUUGGGUUUAACUUUUGGCUUUGGAAGCACUGCUCCUUAGUUUGCUCUGCAGGCCAAGCAGCUGCCGUGCCCAGCAGGCUCCCAGUCAGCCAUUCGCCACUCUGGUCACUGAAAACACGGCCCCGUGUUCCCUUCUCACAUCUGUGAUAAAAAUAAUUACUGGCGAAGCCCGCUGGGACACCACAUGCAGAAGGACUUCACCAUCCA